Osmerus eperlanus (European smelt) is the source of this 415-nucleotide long non-coding RNA. RefSeq lists it as uncharacterized. NCBI's taxonomy places the organism in Eukaryota, Metazoa, Chordata, Actinopteri, Osmeriformes, Osmeridae. The transcript has 4 exons. The record is from RefSeq and is a predicted model, not a curated record.
CAUGUGACUUCCCUAAUAGACAGAAAUCACUGAUUCGAACGAACUAGACUAUUGGCUGUCAUGCAGGUCCAGGUGAGAGGUGUACUUCUGUUCUGUCUGCUGCUGGGUCAUAUUCUGGUUGAAGCUGGAAAACCGGUUUCUUUGUGGCCGAUAGGAAGCAGGCGACCACUUGAGAAUGAUGCGGGGUUCGAGCCAAAAGAUGUGCUGAACUUAAUUUCAGUGAACCAUGCACUUGAAAAUUAUGAAGGGUUUGAACCUGAGGAAACUACAGAAAAUCAGAUGACACCUCAGAACUCAUCCACCACACCCAGAGAAACCAGCCAGUUGCCUUCAUUCUUUCUUUCAUUAAUUAAUGCAUUAUUCAACUGACUCAUGAAUUAAUCCUGCAAUACUUGUUAUUCCUUCAAAUAAAAAG